AGCUUUGCGCAGUGGCAGUAUCGUAGCCAAUGAGGUUUAUCCGAGGCGCGAUUAUUGCUAAUUGAAAAGUUCGAAACUUGAAGGUUCAUACGUAGGGGACUUAUCUGUAAUUUUCCUUGAUGAUGUUGUCAGAUCAGGACACCUAUUUGUUCAAACAAUUGUGAUGUUUAUGUUGAAAGUCUGUAUUGGGA
Molecule: small nuclear RNA, 191 nt
Filed under: Moschus moschiferus (Siberian musk deer)
Lineage: Eukaryota; Metazoa; Chordata; Mammalia; Artiodactyla; Moschidae
Description: U4 spliceosomal RNA (ENSMMSG00000015135.1)
Rfam family: U4 spliceosomal RNA (bases 1-136)
About the family: U4 small nuclear RNA (U4 snRNA) is a component of the major U2-dependent spliceosome. The structure of U4 snRNA from yeast and human has been reported.
Source: RNAcentral